GACGAACGCUGGCGGCGUGCUUAACACAUGCAAGUCGAACGGAAAGGCCCUGCUUUUGUGGGUUGCUCGAGUGGCGAACGGGUGAGUAACACGUGAGUAACCUGCCCUUGCCUUUGGGAUAACUUCAGGAAACUGGGGCUAAUACCGGAUAGGAGUUCCUCCUGCUUGGUGGGGGUUGGAAAGUUUCGGCGGUUGGGGAUGGACUCGCGGCUUAUCAGCUUGUUGGUGGGGUAGUGGCUUACCAAGGCUUUGACGGGUAGCCGGCCUGAGAGGGUGACCGGCCACAUUGGGACUGAGAUACGGCCCAGACUCCUACGGGAGGCAGCAGUGGGGAAUAUUGCACAAUGGGCGGAAGCCUGAUGCAGCAACGCCGCGUGCGGGAUGACGGCCUUCGGGUUGUAAACCGCUUUCGCCUGUGACGAAGCGUGAGUGACGGUAAUGGGUAAAGAAGCACCGGCUAACUACGUG
This 468-nucleotide ribosomal RNA is filed under the name uncultured bacterium. RNAcentral's name for it is "partial 16S ribosomal RNA". It matches the Rfam family "Bacterial small subunit ribosomal RNA", at positions 28 to 507 of the family's 1533-position model. The record is from RNAcentral.